AUUGAACGCUGGCGGAAUGCUUUACACAUGCAAGUCGAACGGUAGAGGGGGCAACCCCUCGAGAGUGGCGAACGGGUGAGUAAUAUAUCGGAACGUGCCCAGUCGUGGGGGAUAACGUAGCGAAAGUUACGCUAAUACCGCAUACGAUCUAAGGAUGAAAGCGGGGGAUCGCAAGACCUCGCGCGAUUGGAGCGGCCGAUAUCAGAUUAGGUAGUUGGUGGGGUAAAGGCUCACCAAGCCAACGAUCUGUAGCUGGUCUGAGAGGACGAUCAGCCAACCUGGAACUGAGACACGGUCCAGACUCCCACGGGAGGCAGCAGUGGGGAAUUUUGGACAAUGGACGCAAGUCUGAUCCAGCCAUUCCGCGUGCAGGAUGAAGGCCCUCGGGUUGUAAACUGCUUUUGUACGGAACGAAAAGGUCUCUCUUAAUACGGGGGGCUCAUGACGGUACCGUAAGAAUAAGCACCGGCUAACUACGUGCCAGCAGCCGCCGUAA
RNAcentral lists this ribosomal RNA (496 nucleotides) under uncultured bacterium. Its description in RNAcentral is "partial 16S ribosomal RNA". It matches the Rfam family "Bacterial small subunit ribosomal RNA", at positions 30 to 523 of the family's 1533-position model. The record is from RNAcentral.